UACGUAGGGGGCAAGCGUUGUCCGGAUUUAUUGGGCGUAAAGGGCGUGUAGGCGGCCUGUUAAGUCUGAAGUGAAACUCCAGGGCUCAACCCUGGAACUGCUUCGGAUACUGGGAGGCUUGAGUACUCUAGAGGGUAGUGGAAUUGCCGGUGUAGCAGUGAAAUGCGUAGAGAUCGGCAGGAACACCAGUGGCGAAGGCGACUGCCUGGGGAGAAACUGACGCUGAGGCGCGAAAGCUGGGGGAGCAAACGGG
RNAcentral lists this ribosomal RNA (253 nucleotides) under uncultured bacterium. Its description in RNAcentral is "partial 16S ribosomal RNA". It matches the Rfam family "Bacterial small subunit ribosomal RNA", at positions 524 to 776 of the family's 1533-position model. The record is from RNAcentral.